Molecule: long non-coding RNA, 1794 nt
Organism: Papaver somniferum (opium poppy)
Lineage: Eukaryota; Viridiplantae; Streptophyta; Magnoliopsida; Ranunculales; Papaveraceae
Exons: 6
Source: RefSeq, a predicted model, not a curated record
GCAACCUCCUUUUUCACACUUUCUUCUAAAAACUCCGAGCCAGAGCACAAGAAACAGAAGACCGUGUUCAUGGAUUGUAGGGCGUGUUUCAAAGGGUUUAUGAAGAAUUAGAAGGUGGGUCAGUGGAAAUCAACAUGUAAUGAGGUGUUUGUUGUCUGUUUCAAAUUUGCGGUAAGAUAAUUGAGAAAUUAAGCUAUAGAUGAAGCAGAUGGGUUCGAUAUGAGAUUUGAGAAUCAAGGAAUUGUUGGUAGUGAUGUUUCUGAGGUAAUUCAGUUCUAUGAUUUGAUGGAGAUGAUGAUUCAAAAAAUAAUCAACCAAGAAGGAUCUCACUGAUUCGUCUUUGCAGGGAAUUAGGGUUGGGACGUCAAGUCUAUCCAGACUUUCAUUGUAAAAAACUAAGUCCGGAAUGUUGAGAUAAAAGGACCUGAAAUUAAUGCCAAAUGAUUCGAAACUCCCUGGAAACUGUUGAGAAAAUUAUUGUUGGUGGUCAGUUGGAGAAACCGAAUUUAAAGUUUAUUUGACGAAAAUUGGAUUGGGAUUAACAGGGGAGAAAAACGUUCUUAUGGAUCGAAUUAAGGAACAUUUUGGGAUCAUAAAUGGUGGUAGAAAACAGAAGUAUCAGGUAACUAGCUUUGUGUACAACUGCAAAGACACGCAACAUCAGUUCAAUGCACGAGAGAGUGAUUGUGGCUUCACGUCCUUUAUGCCUCUAAGUGAACUCUACGAUCCUAGCAGAAAAUUUCUUGCUACGAUACAGUAAUUAUUGAAGCCGAGAUUAUUGUUUGUAAGGUUGUGGAUUAUUGGAGUUAUAAUUCAAAGAAAGAAACAAGCUUUGUUGGUCUUAAAAAUCAGGGUGCAACAUGAACUCUCUACUUCAGAAAGGACGUAUACCAUAUGGCCCCAACUGAGAAUGAUAUGUCAUGUGGAAGCAUUCCUCUGGCUUUGCAAAACAUAUUUUACAAGCUUCAAUACAGUGACAACAGUGUUGCAACUAAAGAGCUGACAAGAUGUUUUGUGUAUGAUAUAUAUGAUUCUUUCCUGCAGCAUGAUAUACAAGAACUCAAUAGGGUUCUUUCUGAAAAGCUCGAAGAUAAAAAGAAAAUAAGCACUUUCUGCUGAUCUUAAACAAAUUUACAAAUUACUUUAAUACCUAGAGUUGAAUUUUGUUGGUCUGUCUGAUAUCUGCCACUGAUUUUAAUUUGAUCUUUGUCUUUUUUGUUAGGGGACUGUUGUGGAGGGUACUAUCCAACAAAUUUUGAAGGACACCAUAUGAACUAUAUUGAGUGCAUCAAUGAGGACAACAAAUUUACGAUAAAGGAGUCAUUUUAUGGUAUUAAUAACUAUUCUAGUUUAUGAAGCUGCUGCUACUGUUAUUGAGGAACCGUAAUGGAUGAAAGAGAUUAGGACAUGGAUUUCGAAGCUGAGACGAAGAAGAAGACUUGAAUUUGUGAUAAUUCCGAUAGAAGAUUUGUGAAGUUGUUGAGUGACCAUCUAUUUGAGAUGAAUGGAGAGAUAUUAACAAGCGCUUACGAGUCAGUGAUUAGAUCAAUGGAAGUGUACCUGAAGUGGGAGGUGUCAAAGCUGAUGGAAUGAAAGUGUUUCCUUCUUCCUAAGCUUUUGGAUUUCUUUGUUAUCUUUCAUUCAAAAUCCUUUCACCUUUUUUUUUUAAGUUUUUUUUCCUUCUUUUCUACAUAUUGAUCCAUGGUGUAUAUUGGAGGCUCUCUGAAAAGACGAGGGUACCCAAAUAUACCUCAAUCUAAAACUUUUCUAUCUAUAAGUCCCUUUUUUCCGAAA